AUUGAACGCUGGCGGCAGGCCUAACACAUGCAAGUCGAGCGGAUGAGAGGAGCUUGCUCUUCGAUUCAGCGGCGGACGGGUGAGUAAUGCCUAGGAAUCUGCCUAGUAGUGGGGGACAACGUUUCGAAAGGAACGCUAAUACCGCAUACGUCCUACGGGAGAAAGUGGGGGAUCUUCGGACCUCACGCUAUUAGAUGAGCCUAGGUCGGAUUAGCUAGUUGGUAGGGUAACGGCCUACCAAGGCGACAAUCCGUAACUGGUCUGAGAGGAUGAUCAGUCAAACUGGAACUGAGACACGGUCCAGCCUCCUACGGGAGGCAGCAGUGGGGAAUAUUGGACAAUGGGCGAAAGCCUGAUUCAGCCAUGCCGCGUGUGUGAAGAAGGCCCUCGGGUCGUAAAGCACUUUAAGUUGGGAGGAAGGGCUUACAGCGAAUACCUGUGAGUUUUGACGUUACCGACAGAAUAAGCACCGGCUAACUUCGUGCCAGCAGCCGCGGUAA
RNAcentral lists this ribosomal RNA (500 nucleotides) under uncultured bacterium. Its description in RNAcentral is "partial 16S ribosomal RNA". It matches the Rfam family "Bacterial small subunit ribosomal RNA", at positions 30 to 523 of the family's 1533-position model. The record is from RNAcentral.